Molecule: ribosomal RNA, 803 nt
Filed under: Micrococcus luteus
Lineage: Bacteria; Bacillati; Actinomycetota; Actinomycetes; Micrococcales; Micrococcaceae
Description: bacterial SSU rRNA
Rfam family: Bacterial small subunit ribosomal RNA
Source: RNAcentral
GCCUUCGGGUUGUAAACCUCUUUCAGUAGGGAAGAAGCGAAAGUGACGGUACCUGCAGAAGAAGCACCGGCUAACUACGUGCCAGCAGCCGCGGUAAUACGUAGGGUGCGAGCGUUAUCCGGAAUUAUUGGGCGUAAAGAGCUCGUAGGCGGUUUGUCGCGUCUGUCGUGAAAGUCCGGGGCUUAACCCCGGAUCUGCGGUGGGUACGGGCAGACUAGAGUGCAGUAGGGGAGACUGGAAUUCCUGGUGUAGCGGUGGAAUGCGCAGAUAUCAGGAGGAACACCGAUGGCGAAGGCAGGUCUCUGGGCUGUAACUGACGCUGAGGAGCGAAAGCAUGGGGAGCGAACAGGAUUAGAUACCCUGGUAGUCCAUGCCGUAAACGUUGGGCACUAGGUGUGGGGAACAUUCCACGUUUUCCGCGCCGCAGCUAACGCAUUAAGUGCCCCGCCUGGGGAGUACGGCCGCAAGGCUAAAACUCAAAGGAAUUGACGGGGGCCCGCACAAGCGGCGGAGCAUGCGGAUUAAUUCGAUGCAACGCGAAGAACCUUACCAAGGCUUGACAUGUUCUCGAUCGCCGUAGAGAUACGGUUUCCCCUUUGGGGCGGGUUCACAGGUGGUGCAUGGUUGUCGUCAGCUCGUGUCGUGAGAUGUUGGGUUAAGUCCCGCAACGAGCGCAACCCUCGUUCCAUGUUGCCAGCACUUCGGGUGGGGACUCAUGGGAGACUGCCGGGGUCAACUCGGAGGAAGGUGGGGACGACGUCAAAUCAUCAUGCCCCUUAUGUCUUGGGCUUCACGCAUGCUAA